UCCAGACUCCUACGGGAGGCAGCAGUGGGGAAUAUUGUACAAUGGGGGAAACCCUGAUGCAGCGACGCCGCGUGAGCGAUGAAGUAUUUCGGUAUGUAAAGCUCUAUCAGCAGGGAAGAAAAUGACGGUACCUGACUAAGAAGCCCCGGCUAACUACGUGCCAGCAGCCGCGGUAAUACGUAGGGGGCAAGCGUUAUCCGGAUUUACUGGGUGUAAAGGGAGCGUAGACGGCUGUGCAAGCCAGAUGUGAAAGCCCGGGGCUCAACCCCGGGACUGCAUUUGGAACUGCAUGGCUGGAGUGCGGGAGGGGCAGGCGGAAUUCCUGGUGUAGCGGUGAAAUGCGUAGAUAUCAGGAGGAACACCGGUGGCGAAGGCGGCCUGCUGGACUGCGACUGACGUUGAGGCCCGAAAGCGUGGGGAGCAAACAGGAUUAGAUACCCCGGUAGAC
RNAcentral lists this ribosomal RNA (448 nucleotides) under uncultured bacterium. RNAcentral's name for it is "partial 16S ribosomal RNA". It matches the Rfam family "Bacterial small subunit ribosomal RNA", at positions 330 to 795 of the family's 1533-position model. The record is from RNAcentral.